AUUGAACGCUGGCGGCAUGCGUUACACAUGCAAGUCGAACGGUAACAGGUUAAGCUGACGAGUGGCGAACGGGUGAGUAAUGCAUCGGAACGUGCCCGAUCGUGGGGGGUAACGCAGCGAAAGCUGCGCUAAUACCGCAUACGAUCUGAGGAUGAAAGCGGGGGACCGUAAGGCCUCGCGCGAUCGGAGCGGCCGAUGUCAGAUUAGGUAGUUGGUGGGGUAAAGGCUCACCAAGCCGACGAUCUGUAGCUGGUCUGAGAGGACGACCAGCCACACUGGGACUGAGACACGGCCCAGACUCCUACGGGAGGCAGCAGUGGGGAAUUUUGGACAAUGGGCGCAAGCCUGAUCCAGCAAUGCCGCGUGCAGGAAGAAGGCCUUCGGGUUGUAAACUGCUUUUGUACGGAGCGAAAAGGCUCUCUCUAAUACAGGGGGCUCAUGACGGUACCGUAAGAAUAAGCACCGGCUAACUACGUGCCAGCCGCCGCCGUAA
This 493-nucleotide ribosomal RNA is filed under the name uncultured bacterium. Its description in RNAcentral is "partial 16S ribosomal RNA". It matches the Rfam family "Bacterial small subunit ribosomal RNA", at positions 29 to 523 of the family's 1533-position model. The record is from RNAcentral.